Molecule: non-coding RNA, 103 nt
Organism: Acanthosepion pharaonis
Lineage: Eukaryota; Metazoa; Mollusca; Cephalopoda; Sepiida; Sepiidae
Source: the annotation of a GenBank genome assembly
GAUCACGAUGAAAACACCGGCUCUCCUUUGAUCUCCGGAGUUAAGCAGUGUCGACACCGUUUAGUACAUAGAAGGGUGACCGCUUGGGAAAAACCUUUAUUGC